RNAcentral lists this ribosomal RNA (428 nucleotides) under uncultured bacterium. Its description in RNAcentral is "partial 16S ribosomal RNA". It matches the Rfam family "Bacterial small subunit ribosomal RNA", at positions 354 to 796 of the family's 1533-position model. The record is from RNAcentral.
GUGGGGAAUAUUGGGCAAUGGGCGCAAGCCUGACCCAGCAACGCCGCGUGAAGGAAGAAGGCUUUCGGGUUGUAAACUUCUUUUACCAGGGACGAAACAAAUGACGGUACCUGGUGAAUAAGCCACGGCUAAGUACGUGCCAGCAGCCGCGGUAAUACGUAGGUGGCGAGCGUUAUCCGGAUUUAUUGGGUGUAAAGGGCGUGUAGGCGGGACAGCAAGUCAGAUGUGAAAACCAGAGGCUCAACCUCUGGCCUGCAUUUGAAACUGUUGUUCUUGAGUGUCGGAGGGGUAAUCGGAAUUCCGUGUGUAGCGGUGAAAUGCGUAGAUAUACGGAGGAACACCAGUGGCGAAGGCGGAUUACUGGACGAUAACUGACGCUGAGGCGCGAAAGCGUGGGGAGCAAACAGGAUUAGAUACCCUAGUAGUCC